GGAAGAAAUUAUGAUAUCCACCUAUAUAGUAUCAAAAGAUAUAGAAGAGAUCAAUUUAAAUUUUGAAACUUUUAUAAAUAUAAGUGUUGGCUGUAUAUGUUAUGAUAUAUUUUUUAUGCAUGAAUUGUUUUAGUCAAAUAAAAGGAAAGAAAUAAAAGAUUUAUUUCCAUUAUUACCUUAGAAAAAUGUUUUUUUUUUUGUGUAUUCCACAUUUCUAUAUAAAUGCGAUGUAAUAUAAUUUUAAACCAUUAAAUAUUCUUGUCUACUUUUGUGGGAAUUGUUCAAAACCUGUCUGGGUGCUGUGUGAGGUAAGGAGAAACCUUUUCCUCUGGAUGAUGACUUAGGCCUCGUUUAAGAUUUGAUAGGUGUAUGAUGUGGUUCUAUAGUUUUCAUUUCUCUCAUUCUGUGGUAAUUGUUCCAACGUCUUAUGUUCAUAUUGUAAAAUAAUAUCUGGACUAGGCUUGUUCAAAUUCUCUUGUUUGUGGUCUUGAUAUUCAUUGCAAUAUUCCCUAUUAUUCUUCACUGUACCUGUUACUAACUGCGCUGCGUGAUUGUUUAUGUUUGUUUGGGGAUGGAAUUCGAAUUUGAUUAUUUGAAUAUAUAGUAUAUACAUUUCAAAUUAGUUUAUUGUGGUUUGAGAUUAUUUUACAUUGUUAUACUUUGUCUCUAAAUAAUUCUAGGAUUUCAAAUCAUGAUCAUAAAGAGACAAUCUACAAGGGAUGUACGUGGGUACCUCCAAAUUGUGCUGAAUAGGUUUCCUGAUAAUCGUGAAAUAUAUGAUAAAAUUACCAAGCUCUUGAAGGACUUGAGACUUGCAAGACUUCGUUCUACUUACAAUGAUGUCAUAUCAAAGGUGAGUCAACUCUUUAAGGAACACAAAGACCUGCUUUUGGGUUUCAAUAAGUUCUUGCCGCCGGGCUAUAAGAUAACACUCCCGAAGGAUCAAACUCAACGAAGGAAGCCUGAGUUUCGGGAUGCUGCUGAAUUUAUCAACAAGGUCAAGGUACGAACACUCGCCCAUGGUAGUAAAUUGGGAUAUAAAAUUUGACUAACGACUUGACUUUCAGUUUACUUUGUGCUAUAAAUAUUGAAAUCUUAAAAGAAAUAUAACACAGUUUGUAUUCUAGCCCUAGUAAUAAAUUAUAUUCAUCUUUUCUGUUUUACCAUCUCCCGUUAAAUAUAUCGGUUAUUCGCAGGAAAGGUUGCAAGACGAGCAUGCAUACAAAUCCUUGUUAGAGAUAUUUCGAAUGUUCAGAGAAAAUAAGAAGAGUCUUACUGAGGUCCAUCAUGAGGUAUAUAUAUAUAUAUAUGUGUGUGUGCGCGCGUGUGUUUCAGCACUAUCAUAAAAAAAACUAUUAAUACAUGUAUAAUAUUAAUACUUGUUUCUUCUUUAGUGUUCAUGUAUUGGGUUUGAUGAUUUUACCUUUAUUUUGUUAAGGAAAUGAUUACCUAUUUGCAGGUGUUGUAUGUCCUCCGAGACCACCAGGAUUUGCGUGUGGAUUUUGCAGCUUUUCUCCCUGCUCGCUAUAGAGAAGAUUGAGAUUGCAGUUGAAUAAUAUGUUGUUGUUGAUGACAAAACUUAUCAUUCAUUUCAGUUAUUUUUCAUACAAAACAGACACUCAUUUCAGCUACUUUUCGUCGUUUGAGUUUCAUAUUAUGGACAAUAUAUAUGGAUGAACUUAUAAAAGAAAAUUUUAAUCCU
Long non-coding RNA from Brassica napus (rape), 1702 nucleotides. RefSeq lists it as uncharacterized. The record is from RefSeq and is a predicted model, not a curated record. The transcript has 2 exons. NCBI's taxonomy places the organism in Eukaryota, Viridiplantae, Streptophyta, Magnoliopsida, Brassicales, Brassicaceae.